Molecule: ribosomal RNA, 497 nt
Filed under: uncultured bacterium
Lineage: Bacteria
Description: partial 16S ribosomal RNA
Rfam family: Bacterial small subunit ribosomal RNA
Source: RNAcentral
GAUGAACGCUGGCGGCGUGCCUAAUACAUGCAAGUCGAGCGAACAGAUAAGGAGCUUGCUCCUUUGACGUUAGCGGCGGACGGGUGAGUAACACGUGGGUAACCUACCUAUAAGACUGGGAUAACUUCGGGAAACCGGAGCUAAUACCGGAUAACAUUUGGAACCGCAUGGUUCUAAAGUGAAAGAUGGUUUUGCUAUCACUUAUAGAUGGACCCGCGCCGUAUUAGCUAGUUGGUAAGGUAACGGCUUACCAAGGCAACGAUACGUAGCCGACCUGAGAGGGUGAUCGGCCACACUGGAGCUGAGACACGGUCCAGACUCCUACGGGAGGCAGCAGUAGGGAAUCUUCCGCAAUGGGCGAAAGCCUGACGGAGCAACGCCGCGUGAGUGAUGAAGGGUUUCGGCUCGUAAAACUCUGUUAUUAGGGAAGAAAAAAUGUGUAAGUAACUGUGCACGUCUUGACGGUACCUAAUCAGAAAGCAACGGCUAACUACGUG